CAGACGAUGCGUCAUGCAUAUCAAUAAGCGGAGGAAAAGAAACUAACAAGGAUUCCCCUAGUAACGGCGAGUGAAGCGGGAAGAGCUCAAAUUUGAAAUCUUAAAGGGUUUCCCUUUACGAAUUGUAGUUUAAAGGAAGUGUUUUCUGCUGAGGUUUUGGUAAAAGUUCUUUGGAAUAGGACAUCAUAGAGGGUGAGAAUCCCGUAUUUGACCUUUACUUUCAACUUUGUGAUACACUUUCAAAGAGUCGGAUUGUUUGGGAAUGCAGUCCAAAAUGGGUGGUAAAUUUCAUCUAAAGCUAAAUAUUGGCGAGAGACCGAUAGCGAACAAGUACCGUGAGGGAAAGAUGAAAAGAACUUUGAAAAGAGAGUUAAACAGUACGUGAAAUUGUCAAAAGGGAAGCGUUUGACACCAGUGUUGUUUUUCUGAAAAUCAAUUAAAGAACUGUUUAUGCUAAGCUGUUUAGACUUUAUCAGCUAUCUGUUUAGUUUUGAGCUUUUCUUUAAUGCACUUUUCAGUUAACAAGUCAACAUCAAUUUCUUUUGCUGUAAAAAAGCUUGAGGAAGGUGGCUUGAGAUUCGUCUUAAGUGUUUAUAGCCUCUUGCCUAUGCAGUCGGAGAGAUUGAGGUCUGCAGCGUAGAUCCUUCGGGGCUAAAUGCAUUUGUGCUAAGUUAUAGCAUUUUAUAGACAACUUGUUGACUAUGAUUUGUCUUGUAGCUUACUCGCUUAUGUUAUUUUACCUACGCUUAGGAUGUUGACACACGCGCGUGCUCG
RNAcentral lists this ribosomal RNA (774 nucleotides) under uncultured Neocallimastigales. RNAcentral's name for it is "partial large subunit ribosomal RNA". It matches the Rfam family "Eukaryotic large subunit ribosomal RNA", at positions 18 to 643 of the family's 3401-position model. The record is from RNAcentral. Lineage: Eukaryota; Fungi; Neocallimastigomycota; Neocallimastigomycetes; Neocallimastigales.